GGUUGGAUCAUUACAAAUCCUGACUCGCAAGAGUCUUAACCACUUGUGCAUUAUUAUUGGCAAGGUGUCUGGUCAAACAGAUGCCGAACCACAUUUACUACUAUUAUGUCUGAUAUUAUUUUAUAAUAAUAAACAACUUUUGACAACGGAUCUCUUGGCUCUCGCAACGAUGAAGAACGCAGCGAAAUGCGAUACGUAGUGUGAAUUGCAGAAUUCCGUGAAUCAUCGAAUCUUUGAACGCAUCUUGCACUCUGUUUACGCAGAGUAUGCCUGUUUGAGAAUCUAUAGACUUCUUCACCCCUUGUGGGUGAGAUUUGGGUUUAUCACUGCAAAGUGAUUUGCCUUAAACCUAUAGGCUGGUACUGUAACAUCUUAUAGUAAGGUGCCAAAGUGUAUGAAGGGUUCGCCCACUUCCUUUGGUGCUAAGCUUAGUUGCUGGACCGGUCCCAACGGGAGUAAUCCCAAUUAGACUAGCUCUUCGUGGUUAUUCUGAAACUUUGGUCUCAAAUCAGGUAGGAAGACCCGCUGAACUUAAGCAUAUCAAUAAGCGGAGGAAAAGAAAAUAACAAUGAUUCCCCUAGUAACGGCGAGUGAAGCGGGAUCAGCUCAAAUUUGAAAUCUCAGGCGGUAACGUCUGCGAAUUGUAGUUUAGAGAUGCGUUUUCGGUGGCGGCUUGGGUUCAAGUUCUUUGGAACGAGACAUCAUAGAGGGUGAGAAUCCCGUCCAUGACUCAAGAUCCGCUACUAUGUGAUACGUACUCGAAGAGUCGGUUUGUUUGGGAAUGCAGACCAAAAUGGGUGGUAAAUACCAUCUAAAGCUAAAUAUUGGCGAGAGACCGAUAGCGAACAAGUACCGUGAGGGAAAGAUGAAAAGAACUUUGAAAAGAGAGUUAAAUAGUACGUGAAAUUGUCAAAAGGGAAACGCUUGAAACCAGUAUUGCUUGCGGGACUUAGCAGUUCUUUUGAGCUGUGUCUUCCCGUUGGUGAGUCAGCAUCAAUUUGAUUCGGGUGAAAAAGCUUCAAGAACGUAGCCCUUUGGGUGUUAUAGCUUGGAGUCAUAGCCUGGGUUGGAUUGAGGACUGCAGCGUCUGUUGGAGAACCUGUCGCCCUGGAAAUUGCGCUUAAUGACUGCUUGCAGAUGUUAGGUUGUAACGAAAGGUACGGCGGGUGUAUCACACUAGCGCUUAGGAUGCUGACGAAAUGGUUUUAAUCGACCCGUCUUGAAACACGGACCAAGGAGUCUAACAUAUAUGCGAGUAUUUGGGUGGCAAACUCUUAUGCGUAAUGAAAGUGAAAAGGUGUGAUCCGCAAGGUGCAACAUCGACCGCGCUCUGUUAUUACUACGGUGGCGUGAGUAUGAGCAUAUAUGUUGGGACCCGAAAGAUGGUGAACUAUGCCUGAAUAGGGUGAAGCCAGAGGAAACUCUGGUGGAGGCUCGUAGCGGUUCUGACGUGCAAAUCGAUCGUCGAAUUUGGGUAUAGGGGCGAAAGACUAAUCGAACCAUCUAGUAGCUGGUUCCCUC
This 1521-nucleotide unclassified non-coding RNA is filed under the name uncultured fungus. RNAcentral describes it as "sequence contains 18S rRNA gene, ITS1, 5.8S rRNA gene, ITS2, 28S rRNA gene". The stretch from base 499 to 1521 matches the Rfam family "Eukaryotic large subunit ribosomal RNA", at positions 1 to 961 of the family's 3401-position model. Lineage: Eukaryota; Fungi. The record is from RNAcentral.